This 87-nucleotide transfer RNA is filed under the name Streptomyces phage Paradiddles. RNAcentral's name for it is "tRNA-Ser". It matches the Rfam family "tRNA". Rfam says of the family: Transfer RNA (tRNA) molecules are approximately 80 nucleotides in length. RNAcentral also lists the same sequence under 1 other name. Lineage: Duplodnaviria; Heunggongvirae; Uroviricota; Caudoviricetes; Stanwilliamsviridae. The record is from RNAcentral.
GGAGGCACGCAUUGGUGGGCUUAUCGGUCUUGAAAACCGUGAUGGCGUAGUGAUAUGCCGUGGGAGUUCGAAUCUCUCUGUCUCCGC